This 253-nucleotide ribosomal RNA is filed under the name uncultured bacterium. RNAcentral's name for it is "partial 16S ribosomal RNA". It matches the Rfam family "Bacterial small subunit ribosomal RNA", at positions 524 to 776 of the family's 1533-position model. The record is from RNAcentral.
GGUACGGGGGGCAAGCGUUGUUCGGAAUUACUGGGCGUAAAGGGCUCAUAGGCGGCCAACUAAGUCGGACGUGAAAUCCCUCGGCUCAACCGGGGAACUGCGUCCGAUACUGGAUGGCUUGAGUUCGGGAGAGGGAUGCGGAAUUCCAGGUGUAGCGGUGAAAUGCGUAGAUAUCUGGAGGAACACCGGUGGCGAAGGCGGCAUCCUGGACCGACACUGACGCUGAGGAGCGAAAGCCAGGGGAGCAAACGGG